Molecule: transfer RNA, 57 nt
Filed under: Cavia porcellus (domestic guinea pig)
Lineage: Eukaryota; Metazoa; Chordata; Mammalia; Rodentia; Caviidae
Rfam family: tRNA
About the family: Transfer RNA (tRNA) molecules are approximately 80 nucleotides in length. Their secondary structure includes four short double-helical elements and three loops (D, anti-codon, and T loops). Further hydrogen bonds mediate the characteristic L-shaped molecular structure. tRNAs have two regions of fundamental functional importance: the anti-codon, which is responsible for specific mRNA codon recognition, and the 3' end, to which the tRNAs corresponding amino acid is attached (by aminoacyl-tRNA synthetases). tRNAs cope with the degeneracy of the genetic code in two manners: having more than one tRNA (with a specific anti-codon) for a particular amino acid; and 'wobble' base-pairing, i.e. permitting non-standard base-pairing at the 3rd anti-codon position.
Source: Rfam by way of RNAcentral
UAGCUCAGUGGCACAGCACCUGCCUGGCAAGUGGGAGGUCCUGAGUUUAAGUCUCAG